Molecule: ribosomal RNA, 775 nt
Filed under: uncultured Neocallimastigales
Lineage: Eukaryota; Fungi; Neocallimastigomycota; Neocallimastigomycetes; Neocallimastigales
Description: partial large subunit ribosomal RNA
Rfam family: Eukaryotic large subunit ribosomal RNA
Source: RNAcentral
UAUCUCUGUAGAGUCUGCAUAUCAAUAAGCGGAGGAAAAGAAACUAACUAGGAUUCCCUCAGUAACGGCGAGUGAAGCGGGAAGAGCUCAAAUUUGAAAUCUUCAAGGUUCUACCUUGACGAAUUGUAGUUUAAAGAAGUGUUUUCUGUUGGAGUUUUGGUGAAAGUUCUUUGGAAUAGGACAUCAUAGAGGGUGAGAAUCCCGUAUUUGACCAUUAUUUCCAGCUUUGUGAUACACUUUCAAAGAGUCGGAUUGUUUGGGAAUGCAGUCCAAAAUGGGUGGUAAAUUUCAUCUAAAGCUAAAUAUUGGCGAGAGACCGAUAGCGAACAAGUACCGUGAGGGAAAGAUGAAAAGAACUUUGAAAAGAGAGUUAAACAGUACGUGAAAUUGUCAAAAGGGAAGCGUUUGACAUCAGUGUUGUUUUCUCGAAAAUCCAAUUAAAAAAGGCAGGAUUUUGUGUUGUAUUGACUUUAUCAGCUUUCUGCACUCUUUUCUUGUCUUUUUUAAUGCACUUUUCGUUUAACAAGUCAACAUCAAUUUCUUUUGUUGUAAAAGGGUCAUUGGAAGGUGGCUCUCUUUUCGGAGAAAGUGUUUAUAGCCUUUGGCCUCUGCAAUCGGAGAGAUUGAGGUCUGCAGCGUAGAUCCUUCGGGGUUAGAUACAUUUGUGCUAAGUUAUAGCCUUUCAUAGACAACUUGUUGACUAUGAUCAGUCAUGUAGCUUACUCGCUUAUGCUAUUUAUACCUACGCUUAGGAUGUUGACGAUCAGCUGAGCGC